Molecule: ribosomal RNA, 638 nt
Filed under: uncultured bacterium
Lineage: Bacteria
Description: bacterial SSU rRNA
Rfam family: Bacterial small subunit ribosomal RNA (bases 1-545)
Source: RNAcentral
CCUACGGGAGGCAGCAGUAGGGAAUCUUCCGCAAUGGACGAAAGUCUGACGGAGCAACGCCGCGUGAACGAUGAAGGCCUUCGGGUCGUAAAGUUCUGUUGUUAGGGAAGAACAAGUGCUAGUUGAAUAAGCUGGCACCUUGACGGUACCUAACCAGAAAGCCACGGCUAACUACGUGCCAGCAGCCGCGGUAAUACGUAGGUGGCAAGCGUUGUCCGGAAUUAUUGGGCGUAAAGCGCGCGCAGGCGGUUUCUUAAGUCUGAUGUGAAAGCCCCCGGCUCAACCGGGGAGGGUCAUUGGAAACUGGGAAACUUGAGUGCAGAAGAGGAAAGUGGAAUUCCAAGUGUAGCGGUGAAAUGCGUAGAGAUUUGGAGGAACACCAGUGGCGAAGGCGACUUUCUGGUCUGUAAACUGACGCUGAGGCGCGAAAGCGUGGGGAGCAAACAGGAUUAGAUACCCUGGUAGUCCACGCUGUAAACGAUGAGUGCUAAGUGUUAGAGGGUUUCCCGCCUUUAGUGCUGAAGUUACGCAUUAAGCACUCCGCCGUCGGGAGGUACGGUCGGCGACGACGUACGAACGUAACGAAGUAAGUACGUACGUCGUAGUAGUACGCGACGACGACGACGACGGAGGAGGAG